GCCCAUCGAAGGGAAAGGAGACACCAAGAGAAAGAGACCAACGACCGUGGAGGCCUCCUACGCAGGAGCCUGUGCCGGCAACAGCUCGGCAAAAGCGACUACGGACCGCACGGACAGCGAUGUAAGGGAAGACUGGAUCCCUGUCCGCGGAAGGAGAGGAAAAAGAACGGACACCCCGGCGGUGGACAGGAAGGCGAACGCAGGAAGGGCGGCAUUGGACAAGCCAAAGAGGCCGGAGGGACCGAAGAGGGUACGUAACAAUCCCGAAGCCAUCCUCGUCAAAGUAGGACAAGACAAGGACAAGGAAGAACUAGCCAAGGAGCUAGUAAUGCAACUAGGCAUAAGCGACAUCACCGAGGUUGAAGUAAAAACCCUAAGAAUGGCGCCGUGGGGCACCCA
Molecule: unclassified non-coding RNA, 399 nt
Filed under: Bombus terrestris (buff-tailed bumblebee)
Lineage: Eukaryota; Metazoa; Arthropoda; Insecta; Hymenoptera; Apidae
Description: misc RNA ENSBTSG00005038958.1
Source: RNAcentral